Molecule: non-coding RNA, 4899 nt
Organism: Cyanistes caeruleus (blue tit)
Lineage: Eukaryota; Metazoa; Chordata; Aves; Passeriformes; Paridae
Source: RefSeq, a predicted model, not a curated record
UUUACUGUCCUAGAAAACAUGAUCCAUUCCUCUUAUAGCCUUAUGAUUAAUAUUGACAAGAACUCAUAAUCUGUCUAAAUACAUUGACAGGAGCUGCCAUAAUUUUCUAUGCCUCAACAUGGACUCAAAAUUUAUUUUCACAUCUAUACUGAAUCACAGUUUUUCCAAUAUGUGAAACAUAUAUUGUACAUAUAAAGACUCAUAGAAUAACUGAGACUUCUCAGUUUGUCCAUUUCUAUUGUAGUGCCAAAAUGUGAAUUUUGGAGCCUAGCUCUGGACAGGCAACUAAGCCCUUUGGUUUUGGGUUGUAUUUUCUUAAACAUAGUAUUGUGUAGUAAUGUGCCACUUUAUAAAGACAAAGAAUACAGGAAAACAAAUAACCAAGUUGUUGAUUCCCACCACAGAUUCCCUGCCUGAAAGGAAAGCUCUCCAUAAAGAAAGUUAAUAACCCUGGUCUGCCUGCCUUCCUGAGACAGGACAUCACUCAGAUGCUGGUACAAAUUCAUUGGCUAUACAUAUAUCUCUUGCAAUAUUUAUUCAUUUUCCUGCUGUCAGUAGUGACAAAUUGUUUCCUUGCAUUCUUGGGUUAGAAAUGGGCUGCUUUAUUUUUUUUUUCUUAUAUACCUCCCAACACCUUAGUCACUUCCAUAGCAGUUACAGAACUCAGAGCAACAGCAUUUUAUUAAACAUGUAGCAACAAAAAUCACUGUAAAAUAUCAAGGCUAAAGAAGAAUCUUCAUGAAGCCUUUCACAAAUCCGCUCAUAUCCCAUCACAUAGGUUUUUUUUUUAAAUAAAACAAAAUCAAAACCAAUGAUAACAAGCUCAACAAAACAACAAAACCAACAACUCCCCCAUUGUUCUAUGACUAUACAUAAAGAAUUUUAAUAGUGCAAAAAUAAAACAUGGGCAAGAAUAUUUUUCAGCCUUUUCAAUAGAACUUUUUCUGAUAUUCACACAUAACAAAGUCCAGCAUCAAAACUGUAGUUUAAAACUAAAAGUUAAAGAACAAAACAAAGAAAGUGUACAGCAAAAGCUCUACUGAACAAUGAGCUCCAGAAAUGACAGCCUGAAAGACAUUCAUAAAAAUAAAAGGGCAGAUCCGUUAGUUGGACCAAUAAAUUAGUCAGCUAUGGUCCUCCAGAGCAUUCAGUGACAAGGAAAAAGCGAAAUUCUGGAUGCUGAAAGAUCAAAGAAAAUUAAGUAAAUUCCACACAAAUCCAGGAGACUAUCUUAAAAUUUUAGUACAAACAUGACUCCCAAGGGCCCAUUAAAGCCCCAAAUUAUUCUAAGAUUCUACAAUUCCACCAUGCUGAGUCAAAAGCAUCUUCCUUUCAUGUCAUAAAGCAGUUCUUUGCCUGAGUUUUGUGCACUGUAGAAUGAGGGCAGGUGAGUCUUCACCUUUUAUUUGCUGCAUGUCAUCAACUACAACUACAGUGCUGUAAAUCCACAUUUUAUUUUCUCUGUUGGACUCAUUGGUUUUUUAAAAACUAAACUACCAUGAAAAAUACUCACAAAAUAUUAAAUAAGCAUGAACAUUUCAACUGAACUACUUGAGAAAGUAUUAACUUUUAGAUGUUCUCUAGCUUGUUCUGUAGGAAAAGGAUCCAUAGAGAUUACUUAAGACAAAGAAAUCAAAACAGAAUAAUUUCAUUGUGAAAACCAGGAAACAUUGCAUUCUUGAUAGCCACUCUCCUUUUUAUGCAAAAGCUUUAUUGCAUUACAUUUCUGAGCAUUAUUUCAGUAUGUUUUAAAUAGUUUUUCAGAGUUUAUAGACUGUAUCAAAGCAUAUCAAAUCAACCAGAACAUAGAUGUUUGCCAUUCUACUCUCUAGCACAAUCCUAUUUUGAACAUUUCAUAUUUUGCCAUUUCUAAGUCUUCAGACAGUUUUCCCUCUCCUGUAUCUGAAAUUGUGUUUAGUGCUGUCUGGAGCAAGGUGGUAGUGAUAAUAUUAAAUUUUACAGUUUCACAGACUGAUACACUUUACUUCACCAAAUAGAAACAGUUCCAUUAAGGGAAACACAAACCGCACUAAUAAUGUGUGCCCCAGCUGUGACUGUGAAGGUGAGAAGGCAGAUUUAUUUUCUUUUGCAUUCAAGGCUUGACGCAAGUCCCAUUUGAAAAAUUCGAAAAUAUUCAAACUUUUGUGAACAUCCUUGAUACUUAACUAAUAUGUGAUUUGUGUUCAGUGGUUCAUGGAGAUACAAACAUGUUGGAAUUUUUUUCCUUUAGAUUUGUUCUACAUCACUCAAACUUUGGGCUUGGUUAACAAAUUGGGGCAAGAGAAUGCUGACCUCCUUAGCAAUCACUGUGGGUGAUUUUCCCAUUUCAUCGAUCAGCUGGUACCUUUCCUGUAUUCCAUCACUGUUACACCUGCAGCUUCCUUCCUUGGAGACUUCCCAUCUCUGCUGUCCAGCCACAAGGAGCACUAAGUUCUCUUCAGGAGGUGAAGAGUCCUUAAACCAGGACAAAAACCAGGACAGUUUGGCACCUCCUGCCAGUUUCAUCUUGUCGAUCUGUAAAUUAUCUGUUCCGUACAGCCUGAGAGGAAUCAACCCAUGGGGCCCGACUUUAUCAGGCCUGUAUUUCGGGAGCUGGUUUGGGCAGGGCUGGGGAAACAGGAGGCUUUGGGUAGAGGAAAAUCGCUGGAGCAAAGCUGCGAGAUUGGGCCCUCAGUCCCCGAGCCCUCCCCGCCGCCGGCACCGCGGCAGAACCACAGCAUGAGACCCGGGCCCUCACAGGCCACGGCACGGGCCGGCCUGGCAGAAGGUUCCAGGAGCUUCCAGAGGCUGAGGGAGGCUCCGCAGCCCCCACGGCGCCAGGGCGGGCCCUGCUCCUCCCUCCAUGUGCCCACAGCGCCCGGGAAGCGGCCGGAGCGGGGGGGAGGGGAGCCCACCCGAACCGGAGACAUUAAGCAAAGCCGCACAGCGAAUCCUGAUCGGUUCACGUUGGGUUCAAAUCAAUGAAGUUUACCCCAGGAAAAGCGAGCUGAUUGCAUAGAUUCCACCAUUCUGCAGAAACAAAGUUAUCAUAGAAAAAAAUCUGAAAAACUAUUAUCUGUUGAGCCUUUGAGAACUUCACUUGAUAUUGAAGCAGAUAAACACUGACCUGGAACUCUGAGGUGCCUGUUUCUAGUCCAGCCUGAGGAGAACAACUGGAAUCCAAGCUACUCGUUUUCGCUACAGCGCAACAGCUGUUCUGUGGGAUGUUUCACCUUUGCAAGGAGCUGAGAGGAGGGCAGUAUAAAAUUGGAGAUGUCUGUGUACAAGAACAGAUGGAUCCAUAGGUCUAGGAAGAAGAGCAAGAAUAAAUCCUCAAGAGAUGCUUCUUUCAAAGAUACCUGCAAACAAGCUUGGGACCUUGUGUGCCAUAUUUUAUUGGUGUGAAACAGGUAUGAGAAAAGUUCCAUUUAUUUUAAAGUUUAGAAGUUUACCUUACUGCUGUGGCAUUUUUCUUUAUGAAAAUUACCUUUAUUUCAUCUUUAUGACAAUUACCAUAGCAGGCCUCUCAGUGAAUUCCUGGUAGUCUCAUCAGCAAGAAAUAUUGACAGGGAGUUUUAUAAGGAAAUUCCAUAACAUGACCCUCUUACAACUCACCAACAGUUACCACUAGAAAAACAGGUCAGGAAGCAAGACUGGAAGGUCCCAGGGGGAUGAGCUGAAGUUAGGCCUGACAUCCAAGGAGAUGGCAGCACCAUGACGAUUUUUUCACCCAGUGAUGAGCAGCUGCAGCCAGCACUACAUGGAGAGGCAGACAGAGGGAAGCAUUCAAGGCUGAAGUGAUGACCAGCCCAGCUCUUACAGAUUCAAGAGUGUCAAAUCUACCUCCAAAGUAGAUUAAGCUCAAAGCUGAAAUCUUCCAGACUUGCAGAGAGAAAAAGAGGUAGCAGUGCCUGGUCUUCCUCCCAGAGCAGCAAAAAUCUGAAAUGCUUUCCAAAUAACAGGCUAAGCACAUUCUGCCCAUUCUUAUUUUCUUAAUUUUCCAUAUUUACUCGUUCACUGCUCUUCUAUUCUUUCUACUAACUGGGCUACCUUUUCAUGGUCCCAUUAUUGUCUUGUUGCCCCCUUAGGCAACAAGAAGCACCUGUUAACUUAGACCUAACAUCUCCAAGCUUGUAUUUCACUCAAGUAUAUUGGCAACAGCUGCACAUCUCUACCAAGGAAAGUUUCUGUUCUUCUUAGUUUCUGCUAGCUAUGUUCUCCUUUUCUUUCCUUCAAAAUUUAUCUUCAGCCGAGUACACCAUAUUUCAAUGCUGCUGCUUCUGGUUAUAUAUUGUUUAGAUUUCUUUCUUGGUAACUCUGUGAACUGGCUGGCUUUUUUCAUUAUUUCUGUGGGGCUAUGGGGAGAAAAACCAAGCAAUUCCUUUACUUGAGAAUUUUGCCAUUUAUUAAGAUAGUAAAACUCUCAGCAGAAAUUGCAAUUUUCCAAGUAAUAUCAUUUGCAGGGGAACUUACAAGAGCUUUAUUUUAAAGCUAGAUAAAACUUAGAGUGAGAAAUGGGUGGAAUUCAGACAAAAAAUUAGAAAAUUAGAAUUAGGAAAUGUGCUCUGAAGUGAAAAUUAUGUUAAUUACAUUGCAAAAGGCCACAUAAACUAAAGAACUAUUAUUUCCAGGCCUUCUUAAUGGCUAAACAAAACAGAAGCAGUUGCUGGGAACUGUGUCACUAAAAACAAAUAGCUGUAUUGCUAUCAGCAUCUGAAUGUGAAUUGCAUGUGGAACAAGUUCUUCAAUAUUCUGUCUAUAACCAUUCACAGUAUCGUGUUGAGUAAUCUUCUAAAAACUUUGGAAUUUGUAUGUCUUCUAGCAUGCCUGGCACCUUUUCCAGAGAAAAGGUAGCAUUUCAUGGUUUUGUUUUGGUGAGUUUUUGGGGUUUUUAUUUCUGUUUUGGUUUUUGUUGUUUUG